GACGAACGCUGGCGGCGUGCUUAACACAUGCAAGUCGAACGGAAAGGCCCUGCUUUUGUGGGGUGCUCGAGUGGCGAACGGGUGAGUAACACGUGAGUAACCUGCCCUUGACUUUGGGAUAACUUCAGGAAACUGGGGCUAAUAUCGGAUAGGAGCUCCUGCUGCAUGGUGGGGGUUGGAAAGUUUCGGCGGUUGGGGAUGGACUCGCGGCUUAUCAGCUUGUUGGUGGGGUAGUGGCUUACCAAGGCUUUGACGGGUAGCCGGCCUGAGAGGGUGACCGGCCACAUUGGGACUGAGAGACGGACCAGACUCCUACGGGAGGCAGCAGUGGGGAAUAUUGCACAAUGGGCGGAAGCCUGAUGCAGCAACGCCGCGUGCGGGAUGACGGCCUUCGGGUUGUAAACCGCUUUCGCAUGUGACGAAGCGUGAGUGACGGUAAUGGGUAAAGAAGCACCGGCUAACUACGUG
This 468-nucleotide ribosomal RNA is filed under the name uncultured bacterium. RNAcentral's name for it is "partial 16S ribosomal RNA". It matches the Rfam family "Bacterial small subunit ribosomal RNA", at positions 28 to 507 of the family's 1533-position model. The record is from RNAcentral.